UUCCUACUCCCUCCGUUCCUAAAUAUUUGUCUUUCUAGGGAUAUCAACAAGUGACUACAUACGAAGCAAAAUGAGUGAAUCAACACAAUAAAAUAUGUCUAUAUACAUCCGUAUGUAGUCACUUGUUUAAAUCUCUAGAAAGACAAGUAUUUAGGAACGGAGGGAGUAGAUC
Molecule: non-coding RNA, 172 nt
Organism: Triticum aestivum (bread wheat)
Lineage: Eukaryota; Viridiplantae; Streptophyta; Magnoliopsida; Poales; Poaceae
Source: Rfam